This 249-nucleotide ribosomal RNA is filed under the name uncultured bacterium. Its description in RNAcentral is "partial 16S ribosomal RNA". It matches the Rfam family "Bacterial small subunit ribosomal RNA", at positions 524 to 771 of the family's 1533-position model. The record is from RNAcentral.
UACGGGGGGGGGCAAGCGUUGUUCGGAAUUACUGGGCGUAAAGGGCGCGUAGGCGGGCUCACAAGUCAGGGGUGAAAUCCCACGGCUCAACCGUGGAAGUGCCUUUGAUACUGUGGGUCUUGAGGGAGGUAGGGGCGUGCGGAACUUCCGGUGGAGCGGUGAAAUGCGUAGAUAUCGGAAGGAACACCGGUGGCGAAAGCGGCGCGCUGGACCUCUACUGACGCUGAGGCGCGAAAGCCAGGGGAGCAA